This 811-nucleotide long non-coding RNA is filed under the name Mus spicilegus (steppe mouse). Its description in RNAcentral is "lncRNA (ENSMSIG00000019737.1)". Lineage: Eukaryota; Metazoa; Chordata; Mammalia; Rodentia; Muridae. The record is from RNAcentral.
ACGUUAAAACUUUAGAAUCAGGUGGGAGGUGGUGGUAGUCACAGAACAAAUGGUCAAAACAAAGAUCUUACAAGGUUAGAAGCAUAGGACUUUAUGUUAGGCCAUAUUCACCCCAAUCCUGGGCAUGUGUAGUUUGCUAUUUGGUUUUCCUGGCAAGCCUGAGAAGGUGGUGGUUAUACAUAUACAGUUCCGAGUCUCCAGGUCACACCUAUACCUCUAAGAGGAGCUGUUUAUUUCCCCAUCCCAGUGAACUGGUAACUCAAGUUGGAAACUGUGUCUCAUUCACAAUUACAGAUGACUUAAUAAUAACAACACGUAAAUCCCUAGAAAUAAGACUUCGAAGGAGGAUCAUCACUAUUAUUUACUCUACGCCUGCCCAAGACCUCCCUCAGUUCCUUGUCUGCAGGCCUAAACAUCUGAGCAGAGAAAAUAAAAGCAAAGAGUUCCCUAAAAUGCCACCAUACAGAAGGUUCAGAGAGGCCCCUGCAAUCAAGCACAUCCCUGGCACCUCUUCAGUGGAAGCUCCUCUGACACCCAUCAAGUUGGUCGUCAUUAAUGCCUUAUUAAGAGAAGAAUCUUCUGGAGAAACCCGAGCAUCAAAUGAGCAGGGACACUAAAGACAGUGAAUUCACCAUGGCAUCUAACAUGUGCUCAGCUGGAGGGAACAAGAGCUUGCAAUCAAACUCUCAUAAGUACUGAGGGACCUUGGCUGUUUUACAUAUCAAGAAGCACUGAGGUAAGAUACUAAUUCUAUGACUCUGAUGUCAUCCUUUGGUUUGUCAUGCUCGGGACAUCCUACCACAGGCCUGCA